This 479-nucleotide long non-coding RNA is filed under the name Gossypium raimondii (Peruvian cotton). RNAcentral's name for it is "long non-coding RNA (GRAI_LNC009277)". Lineage: Eukaryota; Viridiplantae; Streptophyta; Magnoliopsida; Malvales; Malvaceae. The record is from RNAcentral.
GUGUUGGACUGAAACACAGUUGCGGGGAGUUUGAAUGGAUUUUGAAUGGAGUUGUUGGGGAGUUGAGGAGUUAUGGGUGGAGAGAUUUAAGGAGGGAUAAGUGAUUUUAGGAGAAAAUCAAUGGAGGUGAGGGGAGAGGAGAGGUGUGCUGAAUGGGGACUUUGGUACUCAGGGAAUUCGGCUAGUGGGGUUAUGGCUCAUUUUGGGUGUUUUUCGUAUUUCAUUUUUGGGUAAUGUUUCCCUCGUUCUGCUUUGUGGUGCCGAAUUUUGCUAAAUUCUCGAGUAUCUCCUUUUGAUUACUUUUCUGCCUUCCUUUUUUACCUUCUUGGUUUCAACCGAACAAUAUUGUGGUUCUCUCUUUUGCCGAACUUCGUCUUUCUUUCUUUCAUUUUUAUCAGCUUUGAUUCUCUAUUCCUUUUUCUUUCUUCUUCUCUUCUCUCUCAAUCUGUGCCUCUUAGCCGUAUAACCUAUUUGUUUUC